RNAcentral lists this ribosomal RNA (253 nucleotides) under uncultured bacterium. Its description in RNAcentral is "partial 16S ribosomal RNA". It matches the Rfam family "Bacterial small subunit ribosomal RNA", at positions 524 to 776 of the family's 1533-position model. The record is from RNAcentral.
UACCGGGGGGGCAAGCGUUGUUCGGAAUUACUGGGCGUAAAGGGCUCGUAGGCGGCCAACUAAGUCCGACGUGAAAUCCCAAAGCUUAACUUUGGAACUGCGUCGGAUACUGGAUGGCUUGAAUUCGGGAGAGGGAUGCAGAAUUCCAGGUGUAGCGGUGAAAUGCGUAGAUAUCUGGAGGAAUACCGGUGGCGAAGGCGGCAUCCUGGACCGACAUUGACGCUGAGGAGCGAAAGCUAGGGGAGCAAACGGG